GUGGGGAAUAUUGGACAAUGGGGGGAACCCUGAUCCAGCCAUGCCGCGUGUGUGAAGAAGGCCUUUUGGUUGUAAAGCACUUUAAGCGAGGAGGUGGCUACCGAGAUUAAUACUCUUGGAUAGUGGACGUUACUCGCAGAAUAAGCACCGGCUAACUCUGUGCCAGCAGCCGCGGUAAUACAGAGGGUGCAAGCGUUAAUCGGAUUUACUGGGCGUAAAGCGCGCGUAGGUGGCCAAUUAAGUCAAAUGUGAAAUCCCCGAGCUUAACUUGGGAAUUGCAUUCGAUACUGGUUGGCUAGAGUAUGGGAGAGGAUGGUAGAAUUCCAGGUGUAGCGGUGAAAUGCGUAGAGAUCUGGAGGAAUACCGAUGGCGAAGGCAGCCAUCUGGCCUAAUACUGACACUGAGGUGCGAAAGCAUGGGGAGCAAACAGGAUUAGAAACCCCGGUAGUCC
This 451-nucleotide ribosomal RNA is filed under the name uncultured bacterium. RNAcentral's name for it is "partial 16S ribosomal RNA". It matches the Rfam family "Bacterial small subunit ribosomal RNA", at positions 354 to 796 of the family's 1533-position model. The record is from RNAcentral.